GUGAAAACACACCCGCCAGCAGGAGGGUUGUCGUUACCCCGAGGAGAACGUGUGCUUGCCCACGUCUUUUUGUGUCUCCGCAGAAUGCAGUAAAUCUCAUACAGAUGGUGUUUGUGAGAUGUGUCCACCUGUGACCCUCCCUGCAGUGCACGAGCUUAACCCAGCUCCUGUCUUCACAAAACGAGGAGGGGAAAUGCGGCAUGCGGCAUGGCUUAACACGGCUCCAGGAAGGGUUGAAAACACACACAUGCACAGAGAGACCGAGUUUUACCAGGGCUUCAGUCCACUCACAGGACAGCACGAGUCACAGCUCUGUUGCCAUGGUGUC
Long non-coding RNA from Lampris incognitus (smalleye Pacific opah), 328 nucleotides. RefSeq lists it as uncharacterized. Lineage: Eukaryota; Metazoa; Chordata; Actinopteri; Lampriformes; Lampridae. The record is from RefSeq and is a predicted model, not a curated record. The transcript has 3 exons.